UACGGGGGGUGCGAGCGUUGUCCGGAAUCGCUGGGCGUAAAGCGCGUGUAGGCGGUCCGGUAAGUCCGCUGUGAAAGUCGGGGGCUCAACCCUCGGAUGCCGGUGGAUACUGUCGGGCUUGAGUACGGAAGAGGCGAGUGGAAUUCCUGGUGUAGCGGUGAAAUGCGCAGAUAUCAGGAGGAACACCAAUUGCGAAGGCAGCUCGCUGGGACGUUACUGACGCUGAGACGCGAAAGCGUGGGGAGCAAACAGG
RNAcentral lists this ribosomal RNA (253 nucleotides) under uncultured bacterium. Its description in RNAcentral is "partial 16S ribosomal RNA". It matches the Rfam family "Bacterial small subunit ribosomal RNA", at positions 524 to 776 of the family's 1533-position model. The record is from RNAcentral.